GACGAACGCUGGCGGCGUGCUUAACACAUGCAAGUCGAACGGAAAGGCCCUGCUUUCGUGGGUUGCGCGAGUGGCGAACGGGUGAGUAACACGUGAGUAACCUGCCCUUGACUUUGUGAUAACUUCAGGAAACUGGGGCUAAUACCGGAUAGGAGCUCCUGCUGCAUGGGGGGGGUUGGAAAGUUUCGGCGGUUGGGGAUGGACUCGCGGGUUAUCAGCUUGUUGGUGGGGUAGUGGCUUACCAAGGCUUUGACGGGUAGCCGGCCUGAGAGGGUGACCGGCCACAUUGGGACUGAGAGACGGCCCAGACUGCUACGGGAGGCAGCAGUGGGGAAUAUUGCACAAUGGGCGGAAGCCUGAUGCAGCAACGCCGCGUGCGGGAUGACGGCCUUCGGGUUGUAAACCGCUUUCGCCUGUGACGAAGCGUGAGUGACGGUAAUGGGUAAAGAAGCACCGGCUAACUACGUG
Molecule: ribosomal RNA, 468 nt
Filed under: uncultured bacterium
Lineage: Bacteria
Description: partial 16S ribosomal RNA
Rfam family: Bacterial small subunit ribosomal RNA
Source: RNAcentral